RNAcentral lists this ribosomal RNA (468 nucleotides) under uncultured bacterium. Its description in RNAcentral is "partial 16S ribosomal RNA". It matches the Rfam family "Bacterial small subunit ribosomal RNA", at positions 28 to 507 of the family's 1533-position model. The record is from RNAcentral.
GACGAACGCUGGCGGCGUGCUUAACACAUGCAAGUCGAACGGAAAGGCCCUGCUUUUGUGGGGUGCUCGAGUGGCGAACGGGUGAGUAACACGUGAGUAACCUGCCCUUGACUUUGGGAUAACUUCAGGAAACUGGGGCGAAUACCGGAUAGGAGCUCCUGCUGCAUGGUGGGGGUUGGAAAGUUUCGGCGGUUGGGGAUGGACUCGCGGCUUAUCAGCUUGUUGGUGGGGUAGUGGCUUACCAAGGCUUUGACGGGUAGCCGGCCUGGGAGCGUGACCGGCCACCUUGGGCCUGAGGUACGGCCCAGACUCCUACGGGAGGCAGCAGUGGGGAAUAUUGCGCAAUGGGCGGAAGCCUGAUGCAGCAACGCCGCGUGCGUGAUGACGGCCUUCGGGUUGUAAACCGCUUUCGCCUGUGACGAAGCGUGAGUGACGGUAAUGGGUAAAGAAGCACCGGCUAACUACGUG